GGUUAGGUUUAGCUCGGUUGGUUAGAGCGUGGCACUCAUAAUGCCAAGGUUGUGGGUUCAAUCCCCGUAGCGGCCA
Rhea pennata is the source of this 76-nucleotide non-coding RNA. Lineage: Eukaryota; Metazoa; Chordata; Aves; Rheiformes; Rheidae. The record is from the annotation of a RefSeq genome assembly.